CCUGGUUUCAUAUUUUGGCUUCUGAGAGAUUUCAUGUUCCCUCGAGGGUGGUGCCAGACCAAGGAAGUCAAAUUGCUCUCUGCUCAUCUACGGCAGUGCCAUGAACAUGACCCCACAAAAAAGCAGUCAACAUAAAGUCCACAGGUGGUCUCUCUGAACUCUGCUUCUCGCAGGCACCAGCUAUCUUCUCUGGUCACGACCCAGCUCCACACCCACGGCCCAGCUCCACAUGAC
Molecule: long non-coding RNA, 234 nt
Organism: Myotis davidii
Lineage: Eukaryota; Metazoa; Chordata; Mammalia; Chiroptera; Vespertilionidae
Exons: 3
Source: RefSeq, a predicted model, not a curated record